UACGUAGGGGGCAAGCGUUGUCCGGAAUUAUUGGGCGUAAAGAGCUCGUAGGCGGCUUGUCGCGUCGUCUGUGAAAUCCCGCGGCUCAACCGCGGGUCUGCAGUCGAUACGGGCAGGCUAGAGUUCGGUAGGGGGAGACUGGAAUUCCUGGUGUAGCGGUGAAAUGCGCAGAUAGUCAGGAGGAACACCGAUGGCGAAGGCAGGUCUCUGGGCAUUAACUGACGCUGAGGAGCGAAAGCAUGGGGAGCGAACAGG
RNAcentral lists this ribosomal RNA (255 nucleotides) under uncultured bacterium. RNAcentral's name for it is "partial 16S ribosomal RNA". It matches the Rfam family "Bacterial small subunit ribosomal RNA", at positions 524 to 776 of the family's 1533-position model. The record is from RNAcentral.